Trifolium pratense (red clover) is the source of this 620-nucleotide long non-coding RNA. RefSeq lists it as uncharacterized. The transcript has 3 exons. The record is from RefSeq and is a predicted model, not a curated record. Lineage: Eukaryota; Viridiplantae; Streptophyta; Magnoliopsida; Fabales; Fabaceae.
CCACCGACCCCACCCACCAAUUCUCUCACAUUCUAGUUUCUUCUUUCACUUUCUCUACUUCCUCCCCUGUUUCACGGUUCUUCCAUUUCCCCAAUUUCUAUUCAUCUUCUUCUUUCAAACACAAAUGUCAGCCAUGCACUCAAAAGAAAACUAACAAACCUCUAUUAUAAGUUCCUCAUACUUCUACAAAUAGUAUUAGGUAUAAUUUUGGGAUUAGGGUUAGUGCUCUAAGAGAGGAGAUGAGUACCCACUCUUUGAAAGUUACUUAUUGGGACUUUUGAGAUUCGACAGUUGAUGCUUUAUCUGCUACUCCGGGAGUCGUUAGAGAGAAAAACUAGCCGGUCUUCAUAGUUAUUCAAAGUCAGCUGAGUAGGGGUUUCUAGCAGAUAUUGAGAGUCGUCGGUAUCAUUCUUUUGGUAGGCUUCCUUGAUGAAAUGUUACUUUGUAUAUGUAUAUUUUGAGUUGAUCGAAUAUCUGCAGCUAUUUUGAGUCUAGGAAUAUAUUUACUUUGUGAUGUAUAAAUUUAAACAUGUAUAUUUUGAAACUUCUGACUUAAUGAUGUAUAUGCUGCAAACAAGAUUUAUUUUGAUUUGGAAAUAUUAUAUUUAUUGUUUGUUAAA